This 298-nucleotide small RNA is filed under the name Halalkalibacter krulwichiae. RNAcentral describes it as "Bacillus krulwichiae 5' ureB small RNA". It matches the Rfam family "5' ureB small RNA". Lineage: Bacteria; Bacillati; Bacillota; Bacilli; Caryophanales; Bacillaceae. The record is from Rfam by way of RNAcentral.
CUGUUUCGAUUUGCUGAGGACAAAUGAAGUGAAUAUGGGCAUCGAUUCCACCUGCAGUGACAAUCAUGCCUUCUGCUGCUAUAGCUUCUGUACUUGCUCCAACGAUCAUAUUGUCAUCGACACCAUCCAUAAUAUCUGGAUUUCCACCUUUGCCAAUUCCGACGAUGCGUCCAUCUUUGACGCCGAUAUCUGCUUUGUAAAUUCCUGUGUAAUCAAUGAUUACGGCAUUUGUAAUAAUAAGAUCAAGCACGCCUUCAUCACGGGUUCUUAUCCCAUCUUGCCCCAUGCCAUCACGAAG